Molecule: transfer RNA, 72 nt
Filed under: Ameiurus melas (black bullhead)
Lineage: Eukaryota; Metazoa; Chordata; Actinopteri; Siluriformes; Ictaluridae
Rfam family: tRNA
About the family: Transfer RNA (tRNA) molecules are approximately 80 nucleotides in length. Their secondary structure includes four short double-helical elements and three loops (D, anti-codon, and T loops).
Source: Rfam by way of RNAcentral
GCGUUGGUGGUAUAGUGGUGAGCAUAGCUGCCUUCUGAGCAGUUGACCCGGGUUUGAUUCCCGGUCAAUGUG